UACGUAGGGUGCGAGCGUUAAUCGGAAUUACUGGGCGUAAAGCGUGCGCAGGCGGUUUCUUAAGUCAGAUGUGAAAGCCCCGGGCUUAACCUGGGAACUGCGUUUGAAACUGGGAGACUUGAGUGUGGCAGAGGGGGGUGGAAUUCCACGUGUAGCAGCGAAAUGCGUAGAUAUGUGGAGGAACACCGAUGGCGAAGGCAGCCCCCUGGGUUAACACUGACGCUCAUGCACGAAAGCGUGGGGAGCAAACAGG
RNAcentral lists this ribosomal RNA (253 nucleotides) under uncultured bacterium. RNAcentral describes it as "partial 16S ribosomal RNA". It matches the Rfam family "Bacterial small subunit ribosomal RNA", at positions 524 to 776 of the family's 1533-position model. The record is from RNAcentral.